RNAcentral lists this ribosomal RNA (265 nucleotides) under uncultured bacterium. RNAcentral's name for it is "partial 16S ribosomal RNA". It matches the Rfam family "Bacterial small subunit ribosomal RNA", at positions 793 to 1055 of the family's 1533-position model. The record is from RNAcentral.
GUCCGCGCUGUAAACGAUGAGUGCUAGACGGUGGAGGUAUUGACCCCUUCGCUGCCGAAGCUAACGCGUUAAGCACUCCGCCUGGGGAGUACGGUCGCAAGACUAAAACUCAAAGGAAUUGACGGGGGCCCGCACAAGCGGUGGAGCAUGUGGUUUAAUUCGACGCAACGCGCAAAACCUUACCUGGGUUAAAUCCGCCGGAACCUGUCUGAAAGGAUGGGGUGCCCUUCGGGGAAUCGGUGAGAAGGUGCUGCAUGGCUGUCGU